This 621-nucleotide long non-coding RNA is filed under the name Homo sapiens (human). RNAcentral describes it as "non-protein coding lnc-WARS-1:1". Lineage: Eukaryota; Metazoa; Chordata; Mammalia; Primates; Hominidae. The record is from RNAcentral.
GGGCAGAGUUCCUUCUGCAGUGGCGCUACCGUCCGUGCUGCCCUCCUGGAAACACCGGGGUUUGGGGCAGGAACACUUCACCUGAAAGCAGGCCUGCUUGGCGCCUCCCGGCACAUCUGUGGUCUCCUCUGCACGUCGCUCGCGCAGCCUCCUUGCCUGGAAUGUCCUUCGCUGCCCAUCCUCAUAGGCCCACCUGGGAGAGAUCAUAUCCAUGCCCCCUGCCCCAGGGAGGCGGGGCCAGCAUCUUGACUGACAGCAUCCUUGAGGCCUUGCAUGGUGGAAGGUUUGGAAUGCCUCCCCCUCUCCCCUACUGGGGGAUCAACCCAAAUCUUGAGGCCACAUAGACACUGGGCUCUGGAUGGACAGAAGCAGGCGCAGAGAGAAAAGCUCAGCUAGGGGUGGGAGAACCCGGGAGGAGAGGUAACCCCAAGAGGGAAGGGUGCCUCUUCCACUACCUCUGCUACCAGCCAUCCCCAGGACAGUGGUUCCUCCCCACCCCGCCCAGCCCUGAGGACUACUGGUUGGGGAUUGCCUCCGGAGCCCAGCUUAGGGAGGACAGUAGACAGUAGGCUUUGGAGUUGGGAGACAGGGUUCCGCUUCUGCUGGUGUGACUGGAGGCCU